UCACCUCAUGUGCAGACAUCAAGUGUUGAAAGCUACCACAAGGUGGUGUGCUUCUUUGCACCAAAGUUCUUGCACUUCUUCUACCACAGUAUGAAUGCCAGAUUGAUGCUUGCCAUUCUCCAUUUCAAUGAGAAUUCCAACAGACAGCAGGCUAAGAACAAAGCUGGAAAAGAAAUGUGGCAGCUCUCAUUUCCAAAGGCAAAAAAA
Fundulus heteroclitus (mummichog) is the source of this 207-nucleotide long non-coding RNA. RefSeq lists it as uncharacterized. The record is from RefSeq and is a predicted model, not a curated record. Lineage: Eukaryota; Metazoa; Chordata; Actinopteri; Cyprinodontiformes; Fundulidae. The transcript has 2 exons.